UACUGAAUUAACCUUAACAUUUAGAAGUGAGAAUUGGGGGAGAACGAACUUUUCCAUUAUCUAACAUAGACGGUUCACUUGCAUGCCCCAGUUGCCCAUCUCCUCCGGACACCUCUGCAAAAAUCUCCGUUGAAGAUGCACAGAAUGCCACUGCUUCAGUAUACAGACCAUUCGUUUCUCGCUGUUACCUUCUCCAAGUUUUGGUCAUUGGAAGAGGCUAAAAUAUUAUUGAAUGAGAUGGUUGACUGGAAGAUUGGUCCAGAUGUAUAUACCUUUCAAUAUUUAUGGAUGUACUUUGCAAAGAAGGGAUGGUAAAAGAUGCCGAGUAUGUAGUAGAAUUCAUGAUUCAAAGAGGUGAGGAUCUUAAUGUAGUCACCUAUAGUGCACUCAUUUGUGGAUAUUGUUUGCAAGGCCAAAUGGAUGAAGCAAUAAACACCUUAAAUGUCAUGUUGUCCAGAGGCUGUGUGCCCAACAUUUGGAGCUAUCACAUUCUAAUCAAUGGAUAUUGCAAGAAGGGGAUGAUAGACGAGGCCUUGCAUAUCUUUUGUGAAAUUCCUGGUAAAGGAUUGAAACCCUCAGAAGUGCUGUUGCCCUAGGGCUUUUUUACGAAAUGCAAGCUAGGGGACAAAAUCCUGAUUAGUGCAAUUGGUCCAUAUUGUUGGAUGGUUUGUUCAAGGACCAGUAUACUGCUGAGGCAUUGUCAUUGUAUCAUGUUAUGUAGAGUAAUACUUUUUUUUUUAUCCCUAUCUUACUUUUUGCAGUAUCCUCCUUGAUGGGCUGUGCAAAGGUAGGAAGCUUGAUAUUGAAAGGGAUAUUUUCAAUAACCUUUUUUCUAAGGGGCUACAACCCAAUGUUAAGACUGAAGACAUAUAAUAUAAUGGUAAAUGGACUCUGUUACUAAGGGCUAUUGGACGAUGCAAAAAAGUUGAUCCUGGAAAUGGGAAAAAUGGUUGCUUGCCUAAUAUGUCACCUAUGAUAUUCUUGUUCAGGGAUUCCUUAGAAGAACAAGUGUUUCCAGGCAAUGGUACUUUUGGAGGAAAUGCAAGAAAGGAGUUUCUCUCUCGAUUCAUCUACUUUUUCCAUGUUAGUUGAUGUAUUCCCAGGGGAAUGGCAAGAUCCUACCCUCCUUAAUAUGAUGCAAAAGUUCGUUGCAAAGGAUAAGCAAUCCAACUUAAAGACUCCAUUUGAAAAUGCAUGUUGUUGCUUGUGGCAAUCUGUUGGGAUCACUGGAGAGAUCUUCUACAAUAAGGUCUAGCAGCGUCUUCAUUCACUCUAUGCAAGUAUCUUCUGAUUAUGGGGUGAAUCUUCCUUUGUUUACCAUUAUCCAUCUAGAGUGCUGCAAAGGGUCGUCCAAGUUCAAUUUUGGUCACAUUAUACACGAGCGUUGCAGGUGCUUGAUCUGAAACUUGGCUUCUUGUACCAGCUGAUUGUUCCUUUAUGUGCAAUGAACCUUUCCCUUGAGGUUUUCAAUAGGUGUAUAUAUAUGUUUUUAGUGCAAGUUGAUGUGAGAAAUCCUCAAUUAUACCUGUAGUAAAAUUCUGAAGUGGCCUAUUGAAUAUAAGACAUUGUUGGACUCUUUAAAUUCUGUUUUGCCUCAACUAAAGGACGAUUUAUGUAUGCAACUGCGGUAUUCUCCUUGAACCACAUUUCUAGCUCGAUCACUGACGUCCACAAAGCUUGCCAUUUGUUUUAUAUCUGUAACUGUAAGUUAUUGUUAUGUGAAAUGGUAAUUUGAAUAUAGUCCACUGGAAAA
Molecule: long non-coding RNA, 1753 nt
Organism: Cornus florida
Lineage: Eukaryota; Viridiplantae; Streptophyta; Magnoliopsida; Cornales; Cornaceae
Exons: 3
Source: RefSeq, a predicted model, not a curated record